CUUUGAGAUUUAUCCCUGGAGGGAGUGUCAUUGUCAUCUUCAAUCCACAUACAUAGCAUUUCCCCAAGGGAAGGUUUGGGACAAGAGACCAGUGUUGCUCAAAGUGCAGAAGACACCAGUCCCUUCACCUCAAGAAAGGACCAGUUUGGACACCUCCCUUCUGCUAUGGUCACUGCCAUGAUUGCCACCAGCCCAAGCCCCUCUCAGGCAGUAGGAUGCCGUUUCCAUACCUGCUCCUGGCUGCCUGUGACAUGGUGAGUACAGCAUCAACUCCG
This is a long non-coding RNA of Myotis brandtii (Brandt's bat), 275 nucleotides long. RefSeq lists it as uncharacterized. The record is from RefSeq and is a predicted model, not a curated record. NCBI's taxonomy places the organism in Eukaryota, Metazoa, Chordata, Mammalia, Chiroptera, Vespertilionidae. The transcript is spliced from 3 exons.